UCUUCCCUCUUUCUUCGUGCCUAAUACAUGCAAGUCGAGCGAACGGACGAGAAGCUUGCUUCUCUGAUGUUAGCGGCGGACGGGUGAGUAACACGUGGAUAACCUACCUAUAAGACUGGGAUAACUUCGGGAAACCGGAGCUAAUACCGGAUGAUAUUUUGAACCGCAUGGUUCAAAAGUGAAAGACGGUCUUGCUGUCACUUAUAGAUGGAUCCGCGCUGCAUUAGCUAGUUGGUAAGGUAACGGCUUACCAAGGCAACGAUGCAUAGCCGACCUGAGAGGGUGAUCGGCCACACUGGAACUGAGACACGGUCCAGACUCCUACGGGAGGCAGCAGUAGGGAAUCUUCCGCAAUGGGCGAAAGCUUGACGGAGCAACGCCGCGUGAGUGAUGAAGGUCUUCGGAUCGUAAAACUCUGUUAUUAGGGAAGAACAUAUGUGUAAGUAACUGUGCACAUCUUGACGGUACCUAAUCAGAAAGCCACGGCUAACUACGUG
Molecule: ribosomal RNA, 497 nt
Filed under: uncultured bacterium
Lineage: Bacteria
Description: partial 16S ribosomal RNA
Rfam family: Bacterial small subunit ribosomal RNA
Source: RNAcentral